This 500-nucleotide ribosomal RNA is filed under the name uncultured bacterium. RNAcentral's name for it is "partial 16S ribosomal RNA". It matches the Rfam family "Bacterial small subunit ribosomal RNA", at positions 29 to 523 of the family's 1533-position model. The record is from RNAcentral.
AUUGAACGCUGGCGGAAUGCUUUACACAUGCAAGUCGAACGGCAGCACGGACUUCGGUCUGGUGGCGAGUGGCGAACGGGUGAGUAAUACAUCGGAACGUGCCCAGUCGUGGGGGAUAACGUAGCGAAAGCUACGCUAAUACCGCAUACGUUCUAAGGAUGAAAGCGGGGGAUCGCAAGACCUCGCGCGAUUGGAGCGGCCGAUGGCAGAUUAGGUAGGUGGUGGGGUAAAGGCUCACCAAGCCGACGAUCUGUAGCUGGUCUGAGAGGACGACCAGCCACACGGGGACUGAGACACGGCCCAGAAUCCUACGGGAGGCAGCAGUGGGGAAGUUUGGACAAUGGGCGCAAGCCUGAUCCAGCCAUUCCGCGUGCAGGAUGAAGGCCCUCGGGUUGUAAACUGCUUUUGUACGGAACGAAAAGGCUCUGGUUAAUACCCGGGGCUCAUGACGGUACCGUAAGAAUAAGCACCGGCUAACUACGUGCCAGCCGCCGCAGUAA